ACGCAGUGUUUUGGGGUGCGGGACUGCAAUGCGUGCACUUCGGGACCCCAGGCUGUUCCCACGGCGACUGACACCUCAGACACGCGUGGGAGGGGCGGCGCGCUGGCUAUGGGGCUGUGCUGAGUGCGCGAGAGCGUGGCCGGCACCCACCUGCUACAGGGCCAGCACUGCACUGGGGUCCUGGAGCGGCUCCUCCCAACGUCUCCGCGGGUUGUCGGGUUGUCGAGUUGGGCUGGGGGACGCUACAGGUAGUGGGUCCCGAGCAGCGGCUGGCCCCUUAUCUCACUGCCCCUCCCCGCAGCUCUGCCUCCUCGGACCUCACCGUCCCUUGGAAGCUCGCUCAGGGCACCUACCGCUGUGACCACCUGGACGCAGAAGCUCAGGAUUGGACUUUGUCAGGAAGGUGGGUCCCUCCUCUCAGCACCUCAAGCUUGUUUCUACCCCGGUCUGAGAGCUGCAGAGGCUGGAGCUGGAGUCCCCACCUGAAGGUGUCUGCUUUCCCACAACAGCAGAGAAGAACCAUGGCCCAGGUGAGUGUGGCAUGUCUUUCUACUGCGCUUUUUCAGCAGGGAUUUCGGAUGCUCAUAAGAACGUGUCUAAUAAAGGCUGGGCGUGGUGGCUCACACUGGUAAUCCCAGCACUGUGGGAGGCCAAAGUGAGCAGAUCACCUGAGAUCAGGAGUUCGAGACUAGCCUGGGCAACGUGGUGAAAUUGCAUUGCAGCCUGGGUGACAGUAAGACUCUGUCUCAAAAAAAAAAAAAAAAAAAAUCUGGUAAAAUGCAAACAGAAGUGAGGAUCAGUGAAAACAGGAAGGAAGGAAGAUCACAGCUGUGGGAAGGACAGGGGGGAGAGACUGGAGAGGCUGCUGCAGCUGUGAGAUGCCUUGUAAAUUUUUGAGACAGAGUUUCACUCCGUCAUCCAGGCUGGAGUACGGUGGCAUAAUCUCGGCUCACUGCAAUCUCUGCCUCCUGGGUUCAAGCAAUUCUCCUGCCUCAGCCUCCGUACAGGCACCUGCCACCACACCCAGCGAAUUUUUGUAGUUUUAGUAAAGAUGAGGUUUCACCAUGUUGGCCAGGCUGGUCUCAAACUCCCGGCCUCAAGUGAUCCACCCACCUUGGCCUCCCAAAGUACUGGGAUUACAGGUGUGAGCCACUGCGCCCAGCCCAAUGCCUGGUAAAUUUGUAUCUGACAUUCCUGUCACUUGAAAAAGGCAGGCAGAUUCCAUCUAAUAUACGACUUGUGUUGUCUGUUUUGGACAACCGUGUCUACUUCUCAGGAGAAAUACGGCUUUUUCAGGCAUUUAAAAAUAUACUUGAUCUUUGUAUGCGAGAUGUAGCAGGCCUGUUCCUCAAUAACCACCACAGCAAAUCUCUUGUGAGUUUCCUCCCCCUCU
Molecule: long non-coding RNA, 1393 nt
Filed under: Macaca mulatta (Rhesus monkey)
Lineage: Eukaryota; Metazoa; Chordata; Mammalia; Primates; Cercopithecidae
Description: lncRNA (ENSMMUG00000058932.1)
Source: RNAcentral